UACAGAGGCCCCAAGCGUUACUGAGAAUCACUGGGUUUAAAGGGUGCGUAGGUGGCGCGUUAAGUCCGUUGUGAAAUCCCUUGGCUCAACCAAGGAACUGCUUCGGAUACUGGCGUGCUUGAGGCUAGUAGGGGUCACUGGAACUGACGGUGGAGCGGUGAAAUGCGUAGAUAUCGUCAGGAACGCCAAUGGUGAAGACAGGUGACUGGGCUAGUUCUGACACUGAGGCACGAAAGCGUGGGGAGCGAACGGG
RNAcentral lists this ribosomal RNA (253 nucleotides) under uncultured bacterium. Its description in RNAcentral is "partial 16S ribosomal RNA". It matches the Rfam family "Bacterial small subunit ribosomal RNA", at positions 524 to 776 of the family's 1533-position model. The record is from RNAcentral.